UAGUCCAUGAGUCACUUCACAGUAGAGAUUGCAGUCUGUAUAAUCUUUGAAUAAAUCUGAGUUAGCCAGUGCAAUUGUUUUACCUCUGAAGUGUCACAACCAAUGGACAAGUAAUUGCUUCAAACACAAUUCCAGCGUAAACAUCUUGACCAAUUCCUCAGCAAAUUUCUCAUGUGAAGUGGUUGAAUAAAAUGUAAAUACUGGAAAUCCACCACCUUCUAAAACGAAUGCGUUUGUCAAUUCAUUCUUGGUGUAAUANGUAAAUGAUUGGUGUCAGAAUUUUUCACAUCUCAAUCUCAUCCGUAGUGUAAGAAUUAGGAAAUCCUCUUCCAACUCGU
This 338-nucleotide long non-coding RNA is filed under the name Vigna radiata. RNAcentral describes it as "long non-coding RNA (VRAD_LNC008387)". The record is from RNAcentral. Lineage: Eukaryota; Viridiplantae; Streptophyta; Magnoliopsida; Fabales; Fabaceae.